RNAcentral lists this ribosomal RNA (495 nucleotides) under Acrobeloides sp. Sourhope farm. Its description in RNAcentral is "SSU rRNA". It matches the Rfam family "Eukaryotic small subunit ribosomal RNA", at positions 50 to 544 of the family's 1831-position model. Lineage: Eukaryota; Metazoa; Nematoda; Chromadorea; Rhabditida; Cephalobidae. The record is from RNAcentral.
CAUGCAUGUCUAAGUAUAAACGAUUGAAUCGUGAAACCGCGAAUGGCUCAUUAUAACAGCUAUAAUUUACUUGAUCUUGACACAAUCCUACUUGGAUAACUGUGGUAAUUCUAGAGCUAAUACAUGCAUUAAAGCUCUGACCUCACGGGAAGAGUGCAUUUAUUAGAACAAAACCAAGCGGCUUCGGCUGUUUCUGGUUGACUCAUAGUAACUGAGCUGAUCGCAUGGUCUUGCACCGGCGACGUGUCUUUCAAGUAUCUGCCGUAUCAACUUUCGAUGGUAGUGUAUCUGACUACCAUGGUGAUCACGCGUAACGGAGAAUAAGGGUUCGGCUCCGGAGAGUUCGCCUGAGAAAUCGCGAACACAUCUAAGGAAGGCAGCAGGCGCGAAAAUUACCCACUCUCAGCACGAGGAGGUAGUGACGAAAAAUAACGAGACCGUUCUCUUAUGAGGCCGGUCAUCGGAAUGGGUACAAUUUAAACCCUAAACGAGUUG